GAAGGGGGCUAGCGUUGCUCGGAAUCACUGGGCGUAAAGGGUGCGUAGGCGGGUCUUUAAGUCAGGGGUGAAAUCCUGGAGCUCAACUCCAGAACUGCCUUUGAUACUGAGGAUCUUGAGUUCGGGAGAGGUGAGUGGAACUGCGAGUGUAGAGGUGAAAUUCGUAGAUAUUCGCAAGAACACCAGCGGCGAAGGCGGCUCACUGGCCCGAUACUGACGCUGAGGCACGAAAGCGUGGGGAGCAAACAGGAUUAGAUACCCCGGUAGUCCCCCCCGUAAACGAUGAAUGCCAGCCGUUAGUGGGUUUACUCACUAGUGGCGCAGCUAACGCUUUAAGCAUUCCGCCUGGGGAGUACGGUCGCAAGAUUA
This 369-nucleotide ribosomal RNA is filed under the name uncultured bacterium. RNAcentral's name for it is "bacterial SSU rRNA". It matches the Rfam family "Bacterial small subunit ribosomal RNA", at positions 527 to 896 of the family's 1533-position model. The record is from RNAcentral.